UGGCGGCAGGCUUAACACAUGCAAGUCGAGCGGUAACAGAGAGUAGCUUGCUACUUUGCUGACGAGCGGCGGACGGGUGAGUAACGCGUAGAAAUCUGCCUGGUAGUGGGGGAUAGCCCAGAGAAAUUUGGAUUAAUACCGCAUACGCCCUACGGGGGAAAGCAGGGGACCUUCGGGCCUUGCGCUAUCAGAUGAGUCUGCGUCGGAUUAGCUUGUUGGUGAGGUAAUGGCUCACCAAGGCGACGAUCCGUAGCUGGUCUGAGAGGAUGAUCAGCCACACUGGGACUGAGACACGGCCCAGACUCCUACGGGAGGCAGCAGUGGGGAAUAUUGCACAAUGGGCGAAAGCCUGAUGCAGCCAUGCCGCGUGUGUGAAGAAGGCCUUAGGGUUGUAAAGCACUUUCAGCAGUGAGGAAAGGUUGUAGCUUAAUACGCUAUAGCUGUGACGUUAACUGCAGAAGAAGGACCGGCUAACUCCGUGCC
Molecule: ribosomal RNA, 483 nt
Filed under: marine sediment bacterium ISA-1169
Lineage: Bacteria
Description: bacterial SSU rRNA
Rfam family: Bacterial small subunit ribosomal RNA
Source: RNAcentral